Molecule: non-coding RNA, 114 nt
Filed under: Candidatus Zhuqueibacterota
Lineage: Bacteria; Pseudomonadati
Description: Candidate division TPP sequence
Rfam family: TPP riboswitch aptamer (THI element)
About the family: Vitamin B(1) in its active form thiamin pyrophosphate (TPP) is an essential coenzyme that is synthesised by coupling of pyrimidine and thiazole moieties in bacteria. The previously detected thiamin-regulatory element, thi box was extended, resulting in a new, highly conserved RNA secondary structure, the THI element, which is widely distributed in eubacteria and also occurs in some archaea.
Source: RNAcentral
AGCAUAACAAACGGGAGCCCGGGGUGCCGGGCUGAGAGGGUGGGGCGGUUCCCUCACCGACCGUUAGAACCUGACCCGGGUAAUGCCGGCGUAGGGACUAUCAGGAAAACUCAA